AAAUCUGUUAACUUAUAAAGUGUCAUAUUAAUCCUAUGAUCUGUAACUCUGCCUUGCGGAAAAUUAUAAGUUCUAAUCCUUUCAGAUCUA
RNAcentral lists this transfer RNA (90 nucleotides) under Candidatus Pelagibacterales bacterium. RNAcentral's name for it is "Pelagibacterales bacterium tRNA-Ile". The record is from RNAcentral. Lineage: Bacteria; Pseudomonadati; Pseudomonadota; Alphaproteobacteria; Candidatus Pelagibacterales.